RNAcentral lists this ribosomal RNA (500 nucleotides) under uncultured bacterium. RNAcentral describes it as "partial 16S ribosomal RNA". It matches the Rfam family "Bacterial small subunit ribosomal RNA", at positions 30 to 523 of the family's 1533-position model. The record is from RNAcentral.
AUUGAACGCUGGCGGAAUGCUUUACACAUGCAAGUCGAACGGCAGCACGGACUUCGGUCUGGUGGCGAGUGGUGAACGGGUGAGUAAUACAUCGUAACGUGCCCAGUCGUGGGGGAUAACGUAGCGAAAGCUACGCUAAUACCGCAUACGAUCUAAGGAUGAAAGCGGGGGAUCGCAAGACCUCGCGCGAUUGGAGCGGCCGAUGGCAGAUUAGGUAGCUGGUAGGGUAGAGGCCUACCAAGCCGACGAUCUGUAGCUGGUCUGAGAGGAUGAUCGGCCACACUGGGACGGAGACACGGCCCAGAAUCCUACGGGAGGCAGCAGUGGGGAAUUUUGGACAAUGGGCGAAAGCCUGAUCCAGCCAUGCCGCGUGCAGGAUGAAGGCCUUCGGGUUGUAAACUGCUUUUGUACGGAACGAAAAGGUUUGGGCUAAUAAGCUGAGCUCAUGACGGUACCGUAAGAAUAAGCACCGGCUAACUACGUGCCAGCCGCCGCCGUAA